GUGCCGCCCCUUGCCCGGUAGCUAGUCCCCCUUCUUGCUCCCAAGGCAUCUUUGAGAAGCACGAGAUGGGGUAGCAAGUGCUGGGCAGCGAGGACCAAACCAAGAAGACAAAGUAUAAAAUUGUAUGAUACUCUUGUCCCAGUUAGAUACAAUCGGUGGCUAGUUGGGUGGUAGGUGGUGGUGAGCGACUCAAAAACGUUUGCAGCAGUGUCCUGUGGGCAGCUGCGCCUCGUGGAUCCGACUUGGGCUCCAAUUUCCCCCCAAGGAACCAUGUCGCCAGCAGUGACGCCUCAGUAUUAACCCUCCUGAGAAUUGACUUGAUAUCAAAUCUUUCAUGACCUGUUUGUUAUGAC
Molecule: long non-coding RNA, 353 nt
Organism: Setaria italica (foxtail millet)
Lineage: Eukaryota; Viridiplantae; Streptophyta; Magnoliopsida; Poales; Poaceae
Exons: 3
Source: RefSeq, a predicted model, not a curated record